Molecule: ribosomal RNA, 207 nt
Filed under: uncultured bacterium
Lineage: Bacteria
Description: partial 16S ribosomal RNA
Rfam family: Bacterial small subunit ribosomal RNA
Source: RNAcentral
CACGUAGGCGGAUAUUUAAGUCAGAGGUGAAAGCCCGGGGCUCAACCCCGGAACUGCCUUUGAAACUAGAUGGCUUGAAUCUUGGAGAGGCGAGUGGAAUUCCGAGUGUAGAGGUGAAAUUCGUAGAUAUUCGGAAGAACACCAGUGGCGAAGGCGACUCGCUGGACAAGUAUUGACGCUGAGGUGCAAAAGCGUGGGGAGCAAACA